RNAcentral lists this ribosomal RNA (117 nucleotides) under Chrysemys picta bellii (western painted turtle). Lineage: Eukaryota; Metazoa; Chordata; Testudines; Emydidae. The record is from RNAcentral.
UUCUACAACCAUUUUACCUUGGGCUGUGAUCUCAUCAGAUUUCACAAGCUAAGCAGCGUUUGAUCAGAUCUGUACUUAGAUAGGAGACCUCUAGGGAAAAUGAAGGUGCUUCAGGAA